Brienomyrus brachyistius is the source of this 623-nucleotide long non-coding RNA. RefSeq lists it as uncharacterized. NCBI's taxonomy places the organism in Eukaryota, Metazoa, Chordata, Actinopteri, Osteoglossiformes, Mormyridae. The record is from RefSeq and is a predicted model, not a curated record. The transcript has 2 exons.
CACGUGGUGCAGUGUCGGAGGUCAUGCUACCUCGACAAUGGAGUUGUAAGAAUUUCUCCUGAAAGUGCGACGGUUUUCUGUGGAUCGGCAACAUUUUCAUGUGGAAACCUUGGGAUUUGUUUUUUAAAUCUAGGUGGCGUUUGAUGUUUUAGGCUGCUCGUUGAGAUCCGCCUAUUUGGUUUUGGGUGAAAAGCCUCAUGCUGGGAGAUGCUGGACAGACAUUUUUGUCAGCGCUGAUGCCCUUUUCCUCUACUGUAAAUCCCAGUGUGUUCCGCUCAUAUCCGUACCUUUCAUUGUACAAAUGUCUCUUUCUCCUACAGAAAACAACGUGAACUCAAAAGCCUUUUUAUAAGGGUGUGUUUUAUGUGUAAGUAUUGACUGUAACAAAGAUGAAUAGUUAAAACCAAUUAAAUAAUGUUGCAGUGGCUUUUUCCACAUAUGCCGAUAAUUGUACAUCAUACAGUCCUAUUCUGAAAAAUAAAAUUUAUGAAAUAUUGUUUAUUUUUUACAUCACGUGUACUAAUGUCAAUGAACGCCUGUUAUGUCAACUCAGUACAAACCUUUAUGCUGCUGUUCGUAAUACUGUGAUUCACAUUUUGCCUCAAUAAAGUUUUGGCAAGUCA